This 524-nucleotide ribosomal RNA is filed under the name uncultured bacterium. RNAcentral's name for it is "partial 16S ribosomal RNA". It matches the Rfam family "Bacterial small subunit ribosomal RNA", at positions 28 to 523 of the family's 1533-position model. The record is from RNAcentral.
GACGAACGCUGGCGGCGUGCCUAAUACAUGCAAGUCGAGCGCAGGAAACUGACGGAACUCUUCGGAGGGAAGGCAGUGGAAUGAGCGGCGGACGGGUGAGUAACACGUAAGGAACCUGCCUCAAGGAUUGGGAUAACUCCGAGAAAUCGGAGCUAAUACCGGAUAGUUCAACGGACCGCAUGGUCCGCUGAUGGAAGGCGCUCCGGCGUCACCUUGAGAAGGCCUUGCGGUGCAUUAGCUAGUUGGUGGGGUAACGGCCCACCAAGGCGACGAUGCAUAGCCGACCUGAGAGGGUGAUCGGCCACACUGGGACUGAGACACGGCCCAGACUCCGACGGGAGGCAGCAGUAGGGAAUCUUCCACAAUGGACGAAAGUCUGAUGGAGCAACGCCGCGUGAGUGAUGAAGGUUUUCGGAUCGUAAAACUCUGUUGUAAGGGAAGAACACGUACGAGAGGAAAUGCUCGUACCUUGACGGUACCUUACGAGAAAGCCACGGCUAACUACGUGCCAGCCGCCGCCGUAA